Small nuclear RNA from Oncorhynchus mykiss (rainbow trout), 172 nucleotides. Its record names the gene U1. It matches the Rfam family "U1 spliceosomal RNA". From Rfam's summary of the family: U1 is a small nuclear RNA (snRNA) component of the spliceosome (involved in pre-mRNA splicing). Its 5' end forms complementary base pairs with the 5' splice junction, thus defining the 5' donor site of an intron. There are significant differences in sequence and secondary structure between metazoan and yeast U1 snRNAs, the latter being much longer (568 nucleotides as compared to 164 nucleotides in human). NCBI's taxonomy places the organism in Eukaryota, Metazoa, Chordata, Actinopteri, Salmoniformes, Salmonidae. The record is from Ensembl.
CUCCUCACCAGCAUUAUUUCCUUUGAUCAUUUGAACAGGGCGAAGGAGUACCAAGCACACACAAGCUGCAUUCAGUAACGAUUAUCGUGCUGACCCCUGUGAAUUUCCCAAAUGUGGAAAUCUCAAUUGCAUAAUUUAUGGCAGUGGGGGACUAAGUUCACGCUCUCCCCUG